AUACGAAGGGGGCUAGCGUUGUUCGGAUUUACUGGGCGUAAAGCGCACGUAGGCGGAUUGAUUAGUUAGGGGUGAAAUCCCAAGGCUCAACCUCGGAACUGCCUUUAAUACCGUCAAUCUCGAGACCGGAAGAGGUGAGUGGAACUCCUAGUGUAGAGGUGGAAUUCGUAGAUAUUAGGAAGAACACCAGUGGCGAAGGCGGCUCACUGGUCCGGUACUGACGCUGAGGUGCGAAAGCGUGGGGAGCGAACAGGAUUAGAAACCCCGGUAGUCC
This 274-nucleotide ribosomal RNA is filed under the name uncultured bacterium. RNAcentral describes it as "partial 16S ribosomal RNA". It matches the Rfam family "Bacterial small subunit ribosomal RNA", at positions 523 to 796 of the family's 1533-position model. The record is from RNAcentral.